UACCUCAAAAUUCCGCAACAGUCUGUUUCAUCAGUAAAGAUACCGCCUGAUUGAUUCUUUACUGAUGAAACAGACUGUUGCGGAAUUU
Non-coding RNA from Paramuricea clavata, 88 nucleotides. The record is from the annotation of a GenBank genome assembly. NCBI's taxonomy places the organism in Eukaryota, Metazoa, Cnidaria, Anthozoa, Malacalcyonacea, Plexauridae.